UGAAUACGAGAUGCUACGGCGUCGAAGCAGUCUAUGUCAUACUUCCAAGAAAAGCUUGCACUGUCAUAAACAAAUAAUGCCUGUACCAUAACCGACACAGGUGGGUAGUAGAGUAUACUAAGGGGCGCGAGAUAACUCUCUCUAAGGAACUCGGCAAAAUGACUCCGUAACUUCGGGAGAAGGAGUGCCUUAUUUAUAAGGUUGCAAUAACAAGAUCCAAGCAACUGUUUACCAAAAACACAGGUCUCCGCUAAGUCGUAAGACGAUGUAUGGGGGCUGACGCCUGCCCAGUGCCAGAAGGUUAAAGAAGUUGGUUAGCAUCCGCGAAGCUGAUAACUGAAGCCCUGGUGAACGGCGGCCGUAACAAUAACGGUCCUAAGGUAGCGAAAUUCCUUGUCGGGUAAGUUCCGACCCGCACGAAAGGCGUAAUGAUUUGGAUACUGUCUCGGAGAGGGGCUCGGUGAAAUAGACUUGUCUGUGAAGAUGCGGACUACCUGCACCAGGACAGAAAGACCCUAUGAAGCUUUACUGUAACCUGAAAUUGAAAUUGGACUUUACUUGCGCAGUAUAGGUGGGAGGCGUUGAGAAUAUUCUUGCGGGAUUAUUGGAGCCAUCAGUGAGAUACCACUCUUGUAAUGUUAGAUUUCUAACUUUGUAUCAUUAUCUGGUCAAAGAACAGUUUUCAGGCGGGCAGUUUGACUGGGGCGGUCGCCUCCUAAACGGUAACGGAGGCGCACAAAGGUUUCCUCUGAACGGGUAGAAAUCGUAUCUAGAGUGUAAAGGCAUAAGGAAGCUUGACUGUGAGACCUACAAGUCGAGCAGGGACGAAAGUCGGUCUUAGUGAUCUGACGGUGCUGAGUGGAAAGGCCGUCACUCAACGGAUAAAAGUUACUCUAGGAUAACAGGCUGAUCUCCCCCAAGAGUUCACAUCGACGGGGAGGUUUGGCACCUCGAUGUCGGCUCAUCGCAUCCUGGGGCGGUAGUACGUCCCAAGGGUUGGGCUGUUCGCCCAUGAAAGCGGUACGCGAGCUGGGUUCAGAACGUCGUGAGACAGUUCGGUCCAUAUCCGGUGUUGGCGUUAGAAUAUUGAGAGGAGCCUUCUUUAGUACGAGAGGACCGAGAAGGACAUACCUCUGGUGUACCAGUUAUCGUGCCAACGGUAAACGCUGGGUAGCUAUGUGUGGAGUGGAUAACCGCUGAAAGCAUCUAAGUGGGAAGCCCACCUCAAGAUAAGUAUUCUCA
Molecule: ribosomal RNA, 1242 nt
Filed under: metagenome
Description: bacterial LSU rRNA
Rfam family: Bacterial large subunit ribosomal RNA
Source: RNAcentral